GAUGAACGCUGGCGGCGUGCCUAAUACAUGCAAGUCGAGCGAACAGAUGAGGAGCUUGCUCCUCUGACGUUAGCGGCGGACGGGUGAGUAACACGUGGAUAACCUACCUAUAAGACUGGGAUAACUUCGGGAAACCGGAGCUAAUACCGGAUAAUAUAUUGAACCGCAUGGUUCAAUAGUGAAAGACGGUUUUGCUGUCACUUAUAGAUGGUUCCGCGCCGCAUUAGCUAGUUGGUAAGGUAACGGCUUACCAAGGCAACGAUGCGUAGCCGACCUGAGAGGGUGAUCGGCAACACUGGAACUGAGACAAGGUCCAGACUCCUACGGGAGGCAGCAGUAGGGAAGCUUCCGCAAUGGGCGAAAGCCUGACGGAGCAACGCCGAGUGAGUGAUGAAGGUCUUCGGAUCGUAAAACUCUGUUAUUAGGGAAGAACAAAUGUGUAAGUAAAUAUGCACGUCUUGACGGUACCUAAGCAGAAAGCCACGGCUAACUACGUG
Molecule: ribosomal RNA, 497 nt
Filed under: uncultured bacterium
Lineage: Bacteria
Description: partial 16S ribosomal RNA
Rfam family: Bacterial small subunit ribosomal RNA
Source: RNAcentral